Molecule: ribosomal RNA, 637 nt
Filed under: uncultured bacterium
Lineage: Bacteria
Description: bacterial SSU rRNA
Rfam family: Bacterial small subunit ribosomal RNA
Source: RNAcentral
GCUCAACCGGGGAGGGUCAUUGGAAACUGGGAAACUUGAGUGCAGAAGAGGAGAGUGGAAUUCCACGUGUGGCGGUGAAAUGCGUAGAGAUGUGGAGGAACACCAGUGGCGAAGGCGACUCUCUGGUCUGUAACUGACGCUGAGGAGCGAAAGCGUGGGGAGCGAACAGGAUUAGAUACCCUGGUAGUCCACGCCGUAAACGAUGAGUGCUAAGUGUUAGGGGGUUUCCGCCCCUUAGUGCUGCAGCUAACGCAUUAAGCACUCCGCCUGGGGAGUACGGUCGCAAGACUGAAACUCAAAGGAAUUGACGGGGGCCAGCACAAGCGGUGGAGCAUGUGGUUUAGUUCGAAGCAACGCGAAGAACCUUACCAGGUCUUGACAUCCUCUGAUAACCCUAGAGAUAGGGCUUUCCCUUCGGGGACAGAGUGACAGGUGGUGCAUGGUUGUCGUCAGCUCGUGUCGUGAGAUGUUGGGUUAAGUCCCGCAACGAGCGCAACCCUUGAUCUUAGUUGCCAGCAUUUAGUUGGGCACUCUAAGGUGACUGCCGGUGACAAACCGGAGGAAGGUGGGGAUGACGUCAAAUCAUCAUGCCCCUUAUGACCUGGGCUACACACGUGCUACAAUGGACAGAACAAAG